GGGGAUGAUUUUGAAAAAGAAUUUAUUUUUGACUCAAAUGGGGGACAAUGGAUAUAUAUUUUUUUCUUUUUAGAUAAAGUCAAGAAGACCACACAUCAUUUUGAACUCUGAUUGCUUUAUUUUCAAAAGAUUAACUCUAUGACUGGAUGACCUCAACAUGAGUCGUUUUUUCCUUUUUCUUCCUUUCUAGACCGCCCUUUCGGGUUUUCAAUCUAGUGGACUUAUUUUUUUAUUUUUAUUAUUUUUUUAUUAUUAUUCUUUUUGAAAAUUAUUUUGUUCUUUUGUUUGCCUCAAUGGAUUCAGGGAUCACCCACCUAGCACAAGCGAGAAAAAUUUUGGCUAGACCAAUCUACCUUAGUGUAAAGGUUUACUUUGUUACUGAGGGCAAUGACAGUGUUUGUGGAGAAAAUCAUUUAUUUUGGAAAAGUGAAGGGUGAAGGUUUUCAAGCAAUAUGUGCACAAACAUCUAGAAAGGAAACGUCAAAUUAUUAUUUUUGAAUAAACAUUUGACCUCGAAAAAAUUUGACACUGCCACGUUUGUUUUUUAUCAUCUUUUUUCAUUUUUUUUGCUAUUUUUGAAAAAUAAGACUUUGACGAAUUGCAAGAAAGAUAAGCGACUCAAGAUUGCCUCCAUUUUUUUCAAUUUUGUUAUUUGCGGCUUUUGUUUUCUCCGUG
RNAcentral lists this long non-coding RNA (675 nucleotides) under Vigna radiata. Its description in RNAcentral is "long non-coding RNA (VRAD_LNC001824)". The record is from RNAcentral. Lineage: Eukaryota; Viridiplantae; Streptophyta; Magnoliopsida; Fabales; Fabaceae.